UGGGGAAUUUUGGACAAUGGGCGAAAGCCUGAUCCAGCAAUGCCGCGUGUGUGAAGAAGGCCUUCGGGUUGUAAAGCACUUUUGUCCGGAAAGAAAUCCUUGGCUCUAAUGCAGUCGGGGGAUGACGGUACCGGAAGAAUAAGCACCGGCUAACUACGUGCCAGCAGCCGCGGUAAUACGUAGGGUGCAAGCGUUAAUCGGAAUUACUGGGCGUAAAGCGUGCGCAGGCGGUUUGCUAAGACCGAUGUGAAAUCCCCGGGCUCAACCUGGGAACUGCAUUGGUGACUGGCAGGCUAGAGUAUGGCAGAGGGGGGUAGAAUUCCACGUGUAGCAGUGAAAUGCGUAGAGAUGUGGAGGAAUACCGAUGGCGAAGGCAGCCCCCUGGGCCAAUACUGACGCUCAUGCACGAAAGCGUGGGGAGCAAACAGGAUUAGAUACCCUGGUAGUCCACGCCCUAAACGAUGUCAACUAGUUGUUGGGGAUUCAUUUCCUUAGUAACGUAGCUAACGCGUGAAGUUGACCGCCUGGGGAGUACGGUCGCAAGAUUAAAACUCAAAUGAAUUGACGGGGUCAUAGCUGUUUCCU
RNAcentral lists this ribosomal RNA (585 nucleotides) under uncultured bacterium. RNAcentral describes it as "partial 16S ribosomal RNA". It matches the Rfam family "Bacterial small subunit ribosomal RNA", at positions 355 to 1375 of the family's 1533-position model. The record is from RNAcentral.